RNAcentral lists this small RNA (804 nucleotides) under Ascomycota sp. B3_2_3_SC2. RNAcentral describes it as "eukaryotic LSU rRNA". The stretch from base 483 to 804 matches the Rfam family "Eukaryotic large subunit ribosomal RNA", at positions 1 to 320 of the family's 3401-position model. Lineage: Eukaryota; Fungi; Ascomycota. The record is from RNAcentral.
AGCGGAAGUUUUCCCAGCUUGCUUCGGCGGCUGGAUUGCGAGUACGCUCUUUGUCUGAACCCUUGUCUUUUUGCGUACUCAUGUUUCCUCGGCGGGCUUGCCCGCCGACUGGACAACCUUAAAACCUUUUUAAUUUUCAAUCAGCGUCUGAAUAAUUAUAAUAAUUACAACUUUCAACAACGGAUCUCUUGGUUCUGGCAUCGAUGAAGAACGCAGCGAAAUGCGAUAAGUAGUGUGAAUUGCAGAAUUCAGUGAAUCAUCGAAUCUUUGAACGCACAUUGCGCCCCUUGGUAUUCCAUGGGGCAUGCUUGUUCGAGCGUCAUUUGUACUCUCAAGCUCUGCUUGGUGUUGGGUGUUUGUCCUUUCCCUGCGUUAGGACUCGCCUCAAAUUCAUUGGCAGCCGAUAUAUUGGUUUGAAGCGCAGCACAAUUUGCGAUUCGGGCUGGUUAUUGUUGGCGUCCAGUAAGCACAUUUAACACUUUUGACCUCGGAUCAAGUAGGGAUACCCGCUGAACUUAAGCAUAUCAAUAAGCGGAGGAAAAGAAACCAACAGGGAUUGCCCUAGUAACGGCGAGUGAAGCGGCAACAGCUCAAAUUUGAAAUCUGGCUCUUUUAGGGUCCGAGUUGUAAUUUGCAGAGGGCGCUUUGGCGUUGGCAGCGGUCCAAGUUCUUUGGAACAGGACGUCACAGAGGGUGAGAAUCCCGUACGUGGUCGCUAUCCUUCGCCGUGUAAAGCCCCUUCGACGAGUCGAGUUGUUUGGGAAUGCAGCUCUAAAUGGGAGGUAAAUUUCUUCUAAAGCUAAA